UGACGCUUAUCAACACUUUAUAGUUCCUAAAAUCUUACUCACAUUGAAUUAUUUUGCGUCGAUGGCUUUGCGUUUUGGCUCCGGAGCACAAAUUGGACAGGCUUGCUUAAUAUCAUAAAU
Mycetomoellerius zeteki is the source of this 120-nucleotide long non-coding RNA. RefSeq lists it as uncharacterized. The record is from RefSeq and is a predicted model, not a curated record. NCBI's taxonomy places the organism in Eukaryota, Metazoa, Arthropoda, Insecta, Hymenoptera, Formicidae. The transcript has 3 exons.